GCGGGAAUAGCUCAGUUGGUAGAGCACGACCUUGCCAAGGUCGGGGUCGCGAAAGAAUUUCGUGUGGUGCG
Molecule: transfer RNA, 71 nt
Filed under: Pantoea sp. BRM17
Lineage: Bacteria; Pseudomonadati; Pseudomonadota; Gammaproteobacteria; Enterobacterales; Erwiniaceae
Description: tRNA-Gly
Rfam family: tRNA (bases 7-65)
About the family: Transfer RNA (tRNA) molecules are approximately 80 nucleotides in length.
Source: RNAcentral